RNAcentral lists this ribosomal RNA (475 nucleotides) under uncultured bacterium. RNAcentral's name for it is "bacterial SSU rRNA". It matches the Rfam family "Bacterial small subunit ribosomal RNA", at positions 28 to 478 of the family's 1533-position model. The record is from RNAcentral.
GACGAACGCUGGCGGCGUGCCUAACACAUGCAAGUCGAACGGAGAAUUUUAUUUCGGUAGAAUUCUUAGUGGCGAACGGGUGAGUAACGCGUAGGCAACCUACCCUUUAGACGGGGACAACAUUCCGAAAGGAGUGCUAAUACCGGAUGUGAUCAUCUUGCCGCAUGGCAGGAUGAAGAAAGAUGGCCUCUACAAGUAAGCUAUCGCUAAAGGAUGGGCCUGCGUCUGAUUAGCUAGUUGGUAGUGUAACGGACUACCAAGGCGAUGAUCAGUAGCCGGUCUGAGAGGAUGAACGGCCACAUUGGGACUGAGACACGGCCCAAACUCCUACGGGAGGCAGCAGUGGGGAAUCUUCCGCAAUGGACGAAAGUCUGACGGAGCAACGCCGCGUGAGUGAUGAAGGAUUUCGGUCUGUAAAGCUCUGUUGUUUAUGACGAACGUGCAGUGUGUGAACAAUGCAUUGCAAUGACGGUAG